ACACGACUACAUUAGAUACCCCCGUAGUCCUAGGCGUAAAUGAUGCGAGUUAAGUGUGGGGCAUCUACGAGAUGGCCCUGUGCUGUAGGGUAGCCGUUAAACUCGCUGCCUGGGGAGUACGGUCGCAAGGCUGAAACUUAAAGGGAAUUGGCGGGGGAGCACCACAACGGGUGGAGCUUGCGGUUUAAUUGGAUUCAACGCCGGAAAUCUUACCGGGACCGACAGCAACAUGAAGGCCAGGCUGAAGACUUUGCCGGAUUAGCUG
Molecule: ribosomal RNA, 265 nt
Filed under: uncultured archaeon
Lineage: Archaea
Description: partial 16S ribosomal RNA
Rfam family: Archaeal small subunit ribosomal RNA
Source: RNAcentral